Molecule: ribosomal RNA, 1058 nt
Filed under: Technitella sp. R5
Lineage: Eukaryota; Foraminifera; Astrorhizida; Saccamminidae
Description: bacterial SSU rRNA
Rfam family: Eukaryotic small subunit ribosomal RNA
Source: RNAcentral
AAGGGCACCACAAGAACGCGUGGAGCAUGUGGCUUAAUUUGACUCAACGCGGGAAAUCUUACCGGGUCCGGACACACUGAGGAUUGACAGGCAAUUAUUGUAUUUAUUUUUAUAUAAUAUACAACAACAAAUUAUGCUAGUCCUUUCAUGAUUAUGUGAUAGGUGGUGCAUGGCCGUUCUUAGUUCGUGGAGUGAUCUGUCUGCUUAAUUGCGUUUCAAUAGGACCAUGUAAUAACAUGUAUCCAACUUUUUACUAACUUAUAUUUUUUUAUAUAUGUUAUAAAAGUUUACGGAUGCAACUGGUCCUGAAAGCAACGAACGUGACCGCAUCCUCUUGUUGCCUUUUAACUUUGUCGUUCUCUAUAGACGUCAAUAACAUAAGAGGCUUUCAGAAAACUAGAGGGACCGCUGUGACUUUUUAAACCAGAGGAAGGUUGCGGCAAUAACAGGUCUGUGAUGCCCUUAGAUGUUCCGGGCUGCACACGUGCUACAAUGAUUAUUGCAGUGAGCAUCUCAUUUUAUUUUUUGUGCUUGUUAUGUCUAUUUUUAAUAGUCAUUUGACAGCCUUAGCCUGCUUCGAAAGUUCGCAGGUAAUCAAUUGGAAGUAAUGAUUUCCCUUUUUCUAUUUUUUUCAUCUUUACAAUUAUUUGAUUUCUUUAAUUAAGCGAGCNCNCAAUAUGUUACUCUUUCUNGCUCAGACUAUACCAUCUAAUGGUUAGUUCUGCUUGUUGAGAAGUGUGUUGUCUUUUUUUAUGUGUAGACNUUAUGUCUUUUCAUUUUUAAGCAACUUUUAGCAUGUGCUUUUUGUUAAUUCAAGGUGGGGACAGNCCAUUGUUAAUUGUUGGUCUCGGUCUCAACUAGGAAUGCCUUGUACGGGUCUUUGGUUCAACAAACCACCCGGAAUACNUCCCUGCCCUUUGUACACACCGCCCGUCGCUCUUACCGAUGGACUUCUCUGUGAGUUUGAGGGACUGGGUAAUAGCUCUUUAAGCUAUAAGACACCUAUGGAAACUUAAANGAACAGUGUGGUCUAAAGGAAAGAGAAGUCGAACAAGGCA